GACCUUCGGGGAGCUUGCACAGGUGCUGCAUGGCUGUCGUCAGCUCGUGUCGUGAGAUGUUGGGUUAAGUCCCGCAACGAGCGCAACCCUCGACCUUAGUUGCCAGCAUUCAGUUGGGCACUCUAAGGUGACUGCCGGCUAAAAGUCGGAGGAAGUGGGGAUGACGUCAAAUCAUCAUGCCCCUUAUGACCUGGGCUACACACGUGCUACAAUGGGCGGUACAAAGGGUCGCGAACCCGCGAGGGGGAGCCAAUCCCAAAAAGCCGCUCUCAGUUCGGAUUGCAGGCUGCAACUCGCCUGCAUGAAGCCGGAAUCGCUAGUAAUCGCGGAUCCAGCAUGCCGCGGUCGAAUACGUUCCCGGGCCUU
This 366-nucleotide ribosomal RNA is filed under the name uncultured Anoxybacillus sp. RNAcentral describes it as "bacterial SSU rRNA". It matches the Rfam family "Bacterial small subunit ribosomal RNA", at positions 1014 to 1382 of the family's 1533-position model. Lineage: Bacteria; Bacillati; Bacillota; Bacilli; Caryophanales; Anoxybacillaceae. The record is from RNAcentral.